CCUCCUGAGUCCUCCACCCCUGCUCAUAGGGCUGGAUUCAGAAAGGGGGCAGGGCUCCGGGGCCCCCUUAGCCCUGGGCUGCAGCCCCUAAAGCCCUUGCGUUCCAGCCCUGCCUGGCGUGGGCGGGGAGGCGGCUCUGAAAUCACGACCAAUGGAAGCUGCGGGGGGCGGUGGCUGCGGGGCAAGCACAGGGCCGCACAGAGCCACCUAAACUCCCCGCACCUGCACUGCCCGCACCAAACGGGAGCUGCCCCAGACCACAGAGCUGGACCAUGUGGGACAGGACUGAACGAGAUUGGCAGCAGAAGACAAUGCCGGCAAUGCUACUGCUUGCUAGAUAGACUGGGCUUCAGUCUCCAGAGCUGUCACACCAGCACUAAAUUCACUUCAGAAGUUUCAUAUUAAUUUGCUUAACACUCAUUUAUGGUCAUUUCAGUGUGUUAAUUAAAUACAUUAAAAAAUUCAAUGACA
Chrysemys picta bellii (western painted turtle) is the source of this 471-nucleotide non-coding RNA. The record is from RefSeq and is a predicted model, not a curated record. NCBI's taxonomy places the organism in Eukaryota, Metazoa, Chordata, Testudines, Emydidae.